RNAcentral lists this unclassified non-coding RNA (434 nucleotides) under soil metagenome. RNAcentral describes it as "partial contains 5.8S ribosomal RNA, internal transcribed spacer 2, and large subunit ribosomal RNA". The stretch from base 1 to 120 matches the Rfam family "5.8S ribosomal RNA", at positions 35 to 154 of the family's 154-position model. The record is from RNAcentral.
GAUGAAGAACGUAGCGAAAUGCGAUACGUAAUGUGAAUUGCAGAACUCAGUGAAUCAUCGAAUCUUUGAACGCAUAUUGCGCUCUUUGGUAUUCCGAAGAGCAUGCUUGUUUGAGUAUCAGUAAACACCUCAAAGCUUUUGGAUUUUUUAAUCGAAAAGCUUUGGACUUGAGCAAUCCCAACACCAAUCUUUUUGAGAUCGGUGGCGGGUUGCUUGAAAUGCAGGUGCAGCUGGACAUUCUCCUGAGCUAAAAGCAUAUUCAUUUAGUCCCGUCAAACGGAUUAUUACUUUUGCUGCAGCUAACAUAAAGGGAGUUUGACCGUAUUGGCUGACUGAUGCAGGAUUUCACAAGGGUCGGCAACGAUUCUUGUUAAACUCGAUCUCAAAUCAAGUAAGACUACCCGCUGAACUUAAGCAUAUCAAUAAGCGGAGGA